This 614-nucleotide unclassified non-coding RNA is filed under the name Hevea brasiliensis (rubber tree). Lineage: Eukaryota; Viridiplantae; Streptophyta; Magnoliopsida; Malpighiales; Euphorbiaceae. The record is from RNAcentral.
GUUUUACUCAUCUUCCUCCUCUGUUUAACUGCUUCAAACCAUUUCCAUUGUUCAUUGUUUACAAAGGUUAACAAAUCCAAUCAAAAAUUUAAAAUCUCAGAAUUUUAAAUAUACGAAGACAUCAUACACAGUAAAAGUUCAAAAGAUAAUCCAUGCCAUAAGAAACGAAGAGAAGCAGAAAUUUCAAUAUACAAAUUUAUAAAAUUAACAAUUCUAGUUUUCAAUUUCAAGAACCUAAUUAGAUUCCUUGUGCUUCAGCAACUUUAAUUUUAGGAAACUUUAAACAUUCUCUUAAAAAAAAAAAAUACUAGAAAUUCAUAAAGAUCAAGUCCUUGCUACCACUAGUGGUAAUGGAGACCUCUUUGGACUGUAGCAAUCAACAUGAAAUGAGAGAGAUGGAGGGACAGAGAAAGAAAGGGCUCUACAAAGGUAUUAUGAGCAUCAUGUGAAGGAGGAACAAGGCGCACCAAAAGAGGAAGAGUAGUAGGAGAUAUUUCUCAGCUUUGCUGGCAACGUUGACCUGUUCAAAUGUUAGAGUUGACGACGUAGGAGGAGACUUACAAAUACAGAGGAGAGAGGGGAAAGAAAUGUAAGGGAGGGAGAAAGAAAGUUUG